Molecule: ribosomal RNA, 406 nt
Filed under: uncultured bacterium
Lineage: Bacteria
Description: partial 16S ribosomal RNA
Rfam family: Bacterial small subunit ribosomal RNA
Source: RNAcentral
AUUGAACGCUGGCGGCAGGCCUAACACAUGCAAGUCGAACGAGUGGCGGACGGGUGAGUAAUGUCUGGGAAACUGCCUGAUGGAGGGGGAUAACUACUGGAAACGGUAGCUAAUACCGCAUACCAUCAGACGUGCCCAGAUGGGAUUAGCUAGUAGGUGGGGUAACGGCUCACCUAGGCGAUGAUCCCUAGCUGGUCUGAGAGGAUGACCAGCCACACUGGAACUGAGAAACGGUCCAGACUCCUACGGGAUGCAGCAGUGGGGAAUAUUGCACAAUGGGCGCAAGCCUGAUGCAGCCAUGCCGCGUGUAUGAAGAAGGCCUUCGGGUUGUAAAGUACUUUCAGCGGGGAGGCGUUAACCGCAGAAGAAGCACCGGCUAACUCCGUGCCAGCAGCCGCGGUAAUUC